AGUGAACGCUGGCGGUAGGCCUAACACAUGCAAGUCGAACGGCAGCACAGUAAGAGCUUGCUCUUACGGGUGGCGAGUGGCGGACGGGUGAGGAAUACAUCGGAAUCUACUUUUUCGAGGGGGAUAACGUAGGGAAACUUACGCUAAUACCGCAUACGACCUACGGGUGAAAGCAGGGGAUCUUCGGACCUUGCGCGAUUGAAUGAGCCGAUGGCGGAUUAGCUAGUUGGCGGGGUAAAGGCCCACCAAGGCGACGAUCCGUAGCUGGUCUGAGAGGAUGAUCAGCCACACUGGAACUGAGACACGGUCCAGACUCCUACGGGAGGCAGCAGUGGGGAAUAUUGGACGAUGGGCGCAAGCCUGAUCCAGCCAUACCGCGUGGGUGAAGAAGGCCUUCGGGUUGUAAAGCCCUUUUGUUGGGAAAGAAAAGCAGCAGGUUAAUACCCCGCUGUUCUGACGGUACCCAAAGAAUAAGCACCGGCUAACUUCGUG
RNAcentral lists this ribosomal RNA (492 nucleotides) under uncultured bacterium. RNAcentral's name for it is "partial 16S ribosomal RNA". It matches the Rfam family "Bacterial small subunit ribosomal RNA", at positions 29 to 507 of the family's 1533-position model. The record is from RNAcentral.